RNAcentral lists this transfer RNA (78 nucleotides) under Filibacter tadaridae. RNAcentral's name for it is "Filibacter sp. TB-66 tRNA-Arg". It matches the Rfam family "tRNA". From Rfam's summary of the family: Transfer RNA (tRNA) molecules are approximately 80 nucleotides in length. Their secondary structure includes four short double-helical elements and three loops (D, anti-codon, and T loops). The record is from RNAcentral. Lineage: Bacteria; Bacillati; Bacillota; Bacilli; Caryophanales; Caryophanaceae.
UGUCUCAGUAGCUCAGGGGAUAGAGCAACAGCCUCCUAAGCUGUGGGUCGCAGGUUCGAUUCCUGCCUGGGACGUCCA